AGCGAACGCUGGCGGCAGGCUUAACACAUGCAAGUCGAGCGGGCAUCUUCGGAUGUCAGCGGCAGACGGGUGAGUAACACGUGGGAACGUACCCUUCGGUUCGGAACAACUCUGGGAAACUGGAGCUAAUACCGGAUACGCCCUUAUGGGGAAAGGUUUACUGCCGAAGGAUCGGCCCGCGUCUGAUUAGCUAGUUGGUGGGGUAACAGCCUACCAAGGCGACGAUCAGUAGCUGGUCUGAGAGGAUGAUCAGCCACACUGGGACUGAGACACGGCCCAGACUCCUACGGGAGGCAGCAGUGGGGAAUAUUGGACAAUGGGCGCAAGCCUGAUCCAGCCAUGCCGCGUGAGUGAUGAAGGCCUUAGGGUUGUAAAGCUCUUUUGUCCGGGACGAUAAUGACGGUACCGGAAGAAUAAGCCCCGGCUAACUUCGUG
Molecule: ribosomal RNA, 435 nt
Filed under: uncultured bacterium
Lineage: Bacteria
Description: partial 16S ribosomal RNA
Rfam family: Bacterial small subunit ribosomal RNA
Source: RNAcentral